GCUGCCAGUGCUGAGUCCUCACUGUGUACCCAUUGCAGGGCGGGUGCUCCAUGUACAGUCUUAUAGCAUCCUCACAGUUCUUGAUGGGGUGGGAUGGGGCCAUGAAGCAGGUAAGGUGCUGUGGACUGAAUUGUGUUCCCCCACAAAGUCAUAUGUUGGAAUCCUGACUCCCAGUAUGAUUGCAUUUGGAGGUAGGACUUUUAGAUGAUUAGGUUAGAUGAAGUUACAAGGGUGGGGCCCUCAAGAUGCAAUUAGUGUGCUUUAUGUGAAACGCUGGCAUGUUCUCUUCGUGCUGUGAGGACAUAGCAAGAAGGCGGCUGGCUGCCUGCCAGCUGUCUGCAAGCCAGGAAGACAGGUCUUAUCAGCAACAGCAUUGGCCAGUACCUUGAUUUUGGACCUCCAGGCUGCAAAACUAUUAAGAAAUAAAUGUCUGUUGUUUAUAAACAACCUAUCCUGUGGUAUUCUGUUGUGGCAUCCUGAGCUAAGUUAUCUUACGAAGGCUGUCUGGGAGUGAGGGGUGGGCAGGAAGGCAGGCUGGCCCCAGCUGCUGCUGGUCUGAGGAUGCAUUUUGCUUAUGUUGCAUCGUAGUGACCCACAUAAU
This 601-nucleotide long non-coding RNA is filed under the name Marmota monax (woodchuck). Lineage: Eukaryota; Metazoa; Chordata; Mammalia; Rodentia; Sciuridae. The record is from RNAcentral.